GAUGAAGAACGAAGCGAAAUGCGAUAAGUAAUGUGAAUUGCAGAAUUCAGUGAAUCAUCGAAUCUUUGAACGCACAUUGCGCCCCCUGGUAUUCCGGGGGGCAUGCCUGUUCGAGCGUCAUUUCACCACUCAAGCCUCGCUUGGUAUUGGGCAACGCGGUCCGCCGCGUGCCUCAAAUCGACCGGCUGGGUCUUCUGUCCCCUAAGCGUUGUGGAAACUAUUCGCUAAAGGGUGUUCGGGAGGCUACGCCGUAAAACAACCCCAUUUCUAAGGUUGACCUCGGAUCAGGAAGGGAUACCCGCUGAACUUAAGCAUAUCAAUAAGCGGAGGA
Molecule: unclassified non-coding RNA, 331 nt
Filed under: soil metagenome
Description: partial contains 5.8S ribosomal RNA, internal transcribed spacer 2, and large subunit ribosomal RNA
Rfam family: 5.8S ribosomal RNA (bases 1-120)
Source: RNAcentral